AUGCAACUUAGUAUUAUGAGGAGGCUAAAGCCAACAUAUAUACAUGUACAAGCCCCAAUAUGCUUGGUAGGCUCAUGCUUCACAGGAUCCCGCACAAUAUUGAUAGCACUUGUACUGUCUGACAAGAGGGUAGUAGGUGUAGUAACAGAAACACCAAAAUCCUCAAGCAACCAUCGUAACCAGGUCACCUCUGCCGUCAAUAGAGCCAUAGCUCGCAACUCAGCCUCUGCACUCGAACGGGAAACUGCAGUUUGUUUCUUUGUCUUCCAAGCAAUGAGAGAACCGCCAAGAAAAACACAGUAA
Molecule: ribosomal RNA, 303 nt
Filed under: Triticum aestivum (bread wheat)
Lineage: Eukaryota; Viridiplantae; Streptophyta; Magnoliopsida; Poales; Poaceae
Description: partial small subunit ribosomal RNA
Source: RNAcentral